Molecule: ribosomal RNA, 446 nt
Filed under: uncultured bacterium
Lineage: Bacteria
Description: partial 16S ribosomal RNA
Rfam family: Bacterial small subunit ribosomal RNA
Source: RNAcentral
CCUACGGGAGGCAGCAGUAGGGAAUUUUCGGCAAUGGGGGGAACCCUGACCGAGCAACGCCGCGUGAACGAAGAAGUUAUUCGUAAUGUAAAGUUCUUUUAACAGGGAAGAAAGAGAAAUUUGACGGUACCUGAAGAAUAAGCUCCGGCUAACUACGUGCCAGCAGCCGCGGUAAUACGUAGGGAGCGAGCGUUAUCCGGAAUUAUUGGGCGAAAGGGGUGCGUAGAUGGCAUAGUAAGUCUUUUGUAAAAAGGCUGGGCUAAACCCAGUAGGGCAAAAGAUACUGCAAAGCUAGAGUAUGACAGAGGCAAGUGGAACUACAUGUGUAGCGGUAAAAUGCGUAAAUAUAUGUAAGAACACCGAUGGCGAAGGCGGCUUGCUGGGUCGAUACUGACAUUGAGGCACGAAAGCGUGGGGAGCAAACAGGAUUAGAUACCCUAGUAGUC